This 761-nucleotide long non-coding RNA is filed under the name Athene cunicularia (burrowing owl). Its description in RNAcentral is "lncRNA (ENSACUG00000004536.1)". The record is from RNAcentral. Lineage: Eukaryota; Metazoa; Chordata; Aves; Strigiformes; Strigidae.
AGGGCUUAGCAGGUCAGGUGCCUCCCACUUGUAGGGCUUACUCAAGAAAACCCUGUUAUCAUUCUGUCCUUACAGAGAGAUCAGCCUGUUAGUUCUCACAAAGGAGCCUGUUCCCAAGACACUCAGCAGGACUCUGUGAAGUUGCGACCAAACUUGCAGCCACAUCUGCUGUCACCUGAAGAUCUGGUGGGAAAAUGGAGUCACCAAACUGCAGCUGAAGGGGAAGAAGGGGAGCACAGGUCCAGAGAACUGGUGUUCCAAAGCAAGCUGGAAGUUGAACUCCAACACAUCCAACAGCAGAUGCAGUACUACUUCAGCAGGAAGCAGGAACUCAGGUCCUGUCAACAGCAGGCACAGAUUCUACAGAAGUGGCUAGAAAUGAGCACACAACCAGGGGACCAAGACGGUGUACAAGCAGUUCAGGAAGAACUGGAUCAGUUGCAGGUGAGGAUCAACACUCUUACCAAAGCACAGCUAAAAGAGAGACAUCAUGUGCAGAAGCUGGUUGCCCGCCUGCGUGAUAUCCAGAUUGCUCUGGAUAUGUAAUACAUCUGUGCCAGUAUUCCAGCACCUGGGUAGGACUUUUUGCUCCUUUCACAGCAGGGAAGGAUGGAAGAGAUGUAUACAAUUCCUUACUCUAUGUAUGUGGCACUUUUAUAAAUUAAAAUAUUUUUGCCUUUUUGUUAUUAGAGCUGGUUAAAAAAAAAACAGGAGCUAAACACACCUCAUGCUGCACUCAAAAUACCUAGUUUAGGUUACUC